CCUACGGGGGGCAGCAGUGGGGAAUAUUGGGCAAUGGGCGCAAGCCUGACCCAGCAACGCCGCGUGAAGGAAGAAGGCCCUCGGGUUGUAAACUUCUUUUAUUCGGGACGAACCAAAUGACGGUACCGAAUGAUUAAGCCACGGCUAACUACGUGCCAGCAGCCGCGGUAAUACGUAGGUGGCAAGCGUUAUCCGGAUUUACUGGGUGUAAAGGGUGAGUAGGUGGGGUAGCAAGUUGGACGUGAAAUUCCAGGGCUCAACCCUGGACCUGCAGUUGAAACUGUUCUUCUUGAGUGAGGGAGAGGCAAGCGGAAUUCGGUGGGUAGCGGUGAAAUGCGUAGAUAUUAGGAGGAACAACAGUGGCGAAGGCGGCCUGCUGGACAGUAACUGACGCUGAGGCGCGAAAGCGUGGGGAGCAAACAGGAUUAGAUACCCUGGUAGUC
RNAcentral lists this ribosomal RNA (443 nucleotides) under uncultured bacterium. RNAcentral describes it as "partial 16S ribosomal RNA". It matches the Rfam family "Bacterial small subunit ribosomal RNA", at positions 338 to 795 of the family's 1533-position model. The record is from RNAcentral.